AUUGAACGCUGGCGGCAGGCUUAACACAUGCAAGUCGAGCAGGGGAAGGUAGCCUGCUACCGGACCUAGCGGCGGACGGGUGAGUAAUGCUUAGGAAUCUGCCUAUUAGUGGGGGACAACAUCUCGAAAGGGAUGCUAAUACCGCAUACGUCCUACGGGAGAAAGCAGGGGAUCUUCGGACCUUGCGCUAAUAGAUGAGCCUAAGUCGGAUUAGCUAGUUGGUGGGGUAAAGGCCUACCAAGGCGACGAUCUGUAGCGGGUCUGAGAGGAUGAUCCGCCACAGUGGGACUGAGACACGGCCCAGACUCCUACGGGAGGCAGCAGGGGGGAAUAUUGGACAAUGGGGGGAACCCUGAUCCAGCCAUGCCGCGUGUGUGAAGAAGGCCUUAUGGUUGUAAAGCACUUUAAGCGAGGAGGAGGCUACUUUAGUUAAUACCUAGAGAUAGUGGACGUUACUCGCAGAAUAAGCACCGGCUAACUCUGUGCCAGCCGCCGCCGUAA
RNAcentral lists this ribosomal RNA (501 nucleotides) under uncultured bacterium. RNAcentral's name for it is "partial 16S ribosomal RNA". It matches the Rfam family "Bacterial small subunit ribosomal RNA", at positions 30 to 523 of the family's 1533-position model. The record is from RNAcentral.